This 83-nucleotide transfer RNA is filed under the name Minisyncoccota bacterium. Its description in RNAcentral is "tRNA-Leu". It matches the Rfam family "tRNA". From Rfam's summary of the family: Transfer RNA (tRNA) molecules are approximately 80 nucleotides in length. Lineage: Bacteria; Bacillati; Minisyncoccota. The record is from RNAcentral.
GGCCCGGUGGCGGAAUUGGUAGACGCACAACACUUAAAAUGUUGCGCUGAAUAAGCAUGUGGGUUCGAGUCCCACCCGGGCCA